GAGAUUAGCUCAGUUGGUAGAGUACCUGCCUUACAAGCAGAGGGUCAUAGGUUCGAGUCCUAU
Molecule: transfer RNA, 63 nt
Filed under: chicken gut metagenome
Rfam family: tRNA
About the family: Transfer RNA (tRNA) molecules are approximately 80 nucleotides in length. Their secondary structure includes four short double-helical elements and three loops (D, anti-codon, and T loops).
Source: RNAcentral